GUUUGAUCCUGGCUCAGGACGAACGCUGGCGGCGUGCCUAACACAUGCAAGUCGAACGAAGUAUAUUUUCGGAUAUGCUUAGUGGCGGACGGGUGAGUAACGCGUGAACAAUCUGCCCUGUACACAGGAAUAGCCUCGGGAAACUGGGAUUAAAACCGGAUAACACUUUUUGGCCGCAUGGCCGGGAAGUCAAAUUGAUUUAGAGGUACAGGAUGAGUUCGCGUCUGAUUAGCUAGUUGGUGAGGUAACGGCUCACCAAGGCGACGAUCAGUAGCCGGCCUGAGAGGGUGAACGGCCACACUGGAACUGAGACACGGUCCAGACUCCUACGGGAGGCAGCAGUGGGGAAUAUUGCACAAUGGAGGAAACUCUGAUGCAGCGACGCCGCGUGAGUGAAGAAGGUCUUCGGAUCGUAAAACUCUGUCCUUGGUGACGAAAAAAAUGACGGUAGCCAAGGAGGAAGCCCCGGCUAACUACGUGCCAGCAGCCGCGGUAAUACGUAGGGGGCGAGCGUUGUCCGGAUUUACUGGGCGUAAAGGGUGAGUAGGCGGUAAUAUGUGUCAGAUGUAAAAGGCUAUGGCUUAACCAUAGUUGGCAUUUGAAACUGUAUUACUUGAGUGCAGGAGAGGUAAGUGGAAUUCCUAGUGUAGCGGUGAAAUGCGUAGAUAUUAGGAGGAACACCAGUGGCGAAGGCGACUUACUGGACUGUAACUGACGCUGAGUCACGAAAGCGUGGGUAGCAAACAGGAUUAGAUACCCUGGUAGUCCACGCUGUAAACGAUGAGUGCUANGUGUUGGGUAGCGAUAUUCAGUGCCGAAGUAAACACAAUAAGCACUCCGCCUGGGGAGUACGGUCGCAAGACUGAAACUCAAAGGAAUUGACGGGGACCCGCACAAGCAGCGGAGCAUGUGGUUUUAUUUCGAAGCACGCGAAGAACCUUUACCAGGCUUGACAUCCCCUUGACCGGCACAGAGAUGUGCCCUCUCCUUC
This 991-nucleotide ribosomal RNA is filed under the name uncultured Sedimentibacter sp. Its description in RNAcentral is "bacterial SSU rRNA". It matches the Rfam family "Bacterial small subunit ribosomal RNA", at positions 11 to 1021 of the family's 1533-position model. Lineage: Bacteria; Bacillati; Bacillota; Tissierellia. The record is from RNAcentral.